UACGGAGGGUGCAAGCGUUAUCCGGAUUCACUGGGUUUAAAGGGUGCGUAGGUGGGCAGGUAAGUCAGUGGUGAAAUCUCCGGGCUUAACUCGGAAACUGCCAUUGAUACUAUCUUUCUUGAAUACCGUGGAGGUCAGCGGAAUAUGUCAUGUAGCGGUGAAAUGCUUAGAUAUGACAUAGAACACCAAUUGCGAAGGCAGCUCGCUACACGAAUAUUGACUCUGAGGCACGAAAGCGUGGGGAUCAAACAGG
Molecule: ribosomal RNA, 253 nt
Filed under: uncultured bacterium
Lineage: Bacteria
Description: partial 16S ribosomal RNA
Rfam family: Bacterial small subunit ribosomal RNA
Source: RNAcentral